Molecule: ribosomal RNA, 564 nt
Filed under: uncultured bacterium
Lineage: Bacteria
Description: bacterial SSU rRNA
Rfam family: Bacterial small subunit ribosomal RNA
Source: RNAcentral
CCUACGGGAGGCAGCAGUGGGGAAUCUUGCGCAAUGGGCGAAAGCCUGACGCAGCAACGCCGCGUGGGGGAUGAAGGCUCUCGGGUUGUAAACCCCUUUCAGCAGGGACGAAAUUGACGGUACCUGAAGAAGAAGCCCCGGCCAACUACGUGCCAGCAGCCGCGGUGACACGUAGGGGGCGAGCGUUGUCCGGAAUUAUUGGGCGUAAAGAGCUCGUAGGCGGUUUAGUAAGUCAGAUGUGAAAGGUUGGGGCUCAACCCUAAGGCUGCAUCCGAUACUGCUAUGACUAGAGUCCGGUAGAGGAGUGUGGAAUUCCUGGUGUAGCGGUGAAAUGCGCAGAUAUCAGGAGGAACACCGACGGCGAAGGCAGCACUCUGGGCCGGUACUGACGCUCAGGAGCGAAAGCGUGGGUAGCAAACAGGAUUAGAUACCCUGGUAGUCCACGCCGUAAACGUUGGGCACUAGGUGUGGGGCCUUAUCAACGGGUUCCGUGCCGUAGCUAACGCAUUAAGUGCCCCGCCUGGGGAGUACGGCCGCAAGGCUAAAACUCAAAUGAAUUGACGG